ACCAGGCGUUUCUUGCUACGUGUUGCUGCCAGGUCAUCCUAUCCUGACUACUAGUACUCGAGCGAAUUUGGAAGCGCUUUUUGAUAGGUCUCAGUGGUUUCGACCACGCCAGCUUUCAAUUCAAACUUGGUGUGCGCAGAGCAAGUAAGCGGAUCCCCGCUCUUAGUCUCGCCUCAUUGCGGCAGCCAUCAAGAGACAAAGUGCUUUUUCCUACAGUCUGCGGCAUCAUCGUCAUUGAGCGUUGGAAUAUAUGCACACCGCUAGCGAUAUGAAGCAUGCUAGCCAUGCUCGGAGGCCCUACCCACCUAAUCCAUCUAUGGUGAAUAACCAAAUAAAUACAGUGUGGGGUUUAGGUAACAGCUUAUCGAACGGCCUAAAAUGACCCUUUUUGGACCGACACGUUACUGAAAAAAUUCACUG
RNAcentral lists this small RNA (420 nucleotides) under Histoplasma capsulatum var. duboisii H88. RNAcentral describes it as "Histoplasma capsulatum H88 hypothetical RNA". The record is from RNAcentral. Lineage: Eukaryota; Fungi; Ascomycota; Eurotiomycetes; Onygenales; Ajellomycetaceae.